UGGGGAAUAUUGGACAAUGGGGGCAACCCUGAUCCAGCAAUGCCGCGUGUGUGAAGAAGGCCUGAGGGUUGUAAAGCACUUUCAGUGGGGAGGAGGCUUGUUAGGUUAAGAGCUAGAUAAGUGGACGUUACCCACAGAAGAAGCACCGGCUAACUCCGUGCCAGCAGCCGCGGUAAUACGGAGGGUGCAAGCGUUAAUCGGAAUUACUGGGCGUAAAGAGUGCGUAGGUGGUUUGGUAAGUUAUCUGUGAAAUCCCUGGGCUCAACCUGGGCAGGUCAGAUAAUACUGCUGAACUCGAGUAUGGGAGAGGGUAGUGGAAUUUCCGGUGUAGCGGUGAAAUGCGUAGAGAUCGGAAGGAACACCAGUGGCGAAGGCGGCUACCUGGCCUAAUACUGACACUGAGGCACGAAAGCGUGGGGAGCAAACA
This 427-nucleotide ribosomal RNA is filed under the name uncultured bacterium. RNAcentral describes it as "bacterial SSU rRNA". It matches the Rfam family "Bacterial small subunit ribosomal RNA", at positions 355 to 774 of the family's 1533-position model. The record is from RNAcentral.